Molecule: ribosomal RNA, 253 nt
Filed under: uncultured bacterium
Lineage: Bacteria
Description: partial 16S ribosomal RNA
Rfam family: Bacterial small subunit ribosomal RNA
Source: RNAcentral
UACAGAGGGUGCAAGCGUUGUUCGGAAUUAUUGGGCGUAAAGCGCGCGUAGGCGGCUUUGCAAGUCGGGUGUGAAAGCCCUCAGCUCAACUGAGGAAGGGCGCCCGAAACUGCAGAGCUUGAGUGCCGGAGAGGGUGGCGGAAUUCCCCAAGUAGAGGUGAAAUUCGUAGAUAUGGGGAGGAACACCGAUGGCGAAGGCAGCCCCCUGGGCUGAGAUUGACGCUCAGGCACGAAAGCGUGGGGAGCAAACAGG